Molecule: ribosomal RNA, 235 nt
Filed under: uncultured bacterium
Lineage: Bacteria
Description: partial 16S ribosomal RNA
Rfam family: Bacterial small subunit ribosomal RNA
Source: RNAcentral
UGGGCAACCUGCCCCAGACACAGGGAUAACCCCCGGGGAAACCGGGGGCUAAUACCGGAUACUCCGGUCGAACCGCAUGGCUCGAUCGGGAAAGCUCCGACGGUCUGGGAUGGGCCCGCGGCCUAUCAGCUUGUUGGUGGGGUAACGGCCUACCAAGGCGACGACGGGUAGCUGGUCUGAGAGGACGACCAGCCACACUGGAACUGAGAUACCGGCCCAGACCUCCGUACGGGAG